GCGUGGAGUACUGCUCCCAUCUCUGGGC
RNAcentral lists this small RNA (28 nucleotides) under Bombyx mori (domestic silkworm). RNAcentral describes it as "ovarian small RNA-17018". Lineage: Eukaryota; Metazoa; Arthropoda; Insecta; Lepidoptera; Bombycidae. The record is from RNAcentral.